GGGUAUAGCUCAGUGGUAGAGCAUGUGCUUAGCAUAAACGAGGUCCUGGGUUCAAUGCCCAGUACUGCCA
Molecule: transfer RNA, 70 nt
Filed under: Camelus ferus (Wild Bactrian camel)
Lineage: Eukaryota; Metazoa; Chordata; Mammalia; Artiodactyla; Camelidae
Rfam family: tRNA
About the family: Transfer RNA (tRNA) molecules are approximately 80 nucleotides in length. Their secondary structure includes four short double-helical elements and three loops (D, anti-codon, and T loops).
Source: Rfam by way of RNAcentral